CGCAAUGCGGCCCCUCGGCCGGCCAGGUUCCGAGUGUGCGUCUUCGGGAAACUUAUGUGCGCUAGUCGGUUCGCUCGAUGCCUGGGCUUGUGGGUCGAAUUGAGGUGCCGGAGUCUGCCACUGCCUAGCGCGCCUGGCGGGAGCCGCCGGCGUUGGCCACCCGCCGCCUGGGUGUGUGCCCCAGUGACCACAGGUGCCCCGGCGUCAGUUCUGGAAGAAACCUGAGAGCAGGGUGGCUUGGGUCGUGGGAGCCAUGGUGAAGACGAACAGUGUCCCUGACGGGUGGAAGACUGUGACGCCAUUGGACAUCCUCUACCUGGAACCCAAUUUAUUGCUUUUAAAGUUCCUUUAAAGGGAGUAGUUAAUCAGAGACUUAGUCCAACCCAGAAGUUUACACCAAAAGACUUAAUUAGUGCAAUAAAAGCACUAAAUGUGGAGCUUGGAUUAAUUACCGAUUUAACAUACACCACAAGAUAUUAUGAAGUUAAGGAUUUGCCUAAGAGUAUUCAUUAUAAAAAAAACUUUACACUGUUGGACUUGAAGUCCCUAAUAAUGCUACUAUUCUGCAGUUCAAAAAGUGGGUCAGAAAGUUCCAUUGGGAAAAUGCAGAAAAUGAAAAAAUACCUCCACAGUAUGGAUGGCUGCCACAACAGACUGAUGAUAAACUUAUUGGAGUUCAUUGUACUAAUGAAAUUAACAGAACAGGAUGUCUUAUAUGUAGGUACCUUAUUGAUGUUGAAGGCUGGGAUCCAGAUAUAGCAAUUCAAGCUUUUGAUAAGGCCCAGGAUCAUCAAAUAGAUGGAUGUGCAUGCUUGAAGAAUCUCAAAACUCGGCCCAUGAGAAGGAGGAAACAGAUUUCAAUAACAAAGUACCUGGAACAAGACCAAGACUAUUUCACGGUCACCCCCCUCACAGUGACUUCCAUGAACCAGAUGCUGAAGAUGAUUUUGAUUUUGUUAGCAAGCUUUGUGGACAAAGGAGACAUUCUGUUCAGAACCAUCAGGCCUAUAGUAACUUUGGGAACACUUUCCAACAAAAGAUUUUGGUUUUGUUAACAGAAGCCGGGGACAAAAACGACGACCUUGUCUAACCACCAUGAAUACCCACCUCAUGGUGAUUUUCAGGACCAGGACUUACCUGUGCAAGGUUUUAAUUACCUCAAUACAGGUGGUUUUCAAAGGCAAAAACCUUUCCGCCAGCACUGUUCUCAUGAUGAAAUGAAUUUGGAAGAUGUAGAAUAUGCUGAUGAAGCAUCAGAGCACACACUGGGACCUUUACGUGACCAUUCCAACAAUGACUUCUCAGAGAAAUACCAUUGAAAAUGUUCAUAGAAGUCAUGGGCAAAGACUACCACCCUUUCAAAAGUUUCAAAAACAAAUGAAGUUAAGAAGUUUUGAUUUCAACAGCAGAACCAGACCAAGGCAAGUGUCCUACUGCAACAGCCAGCCUAGUGAUCCACAAGAACAGAUGCUAUUGGAACAGCUGGACUUUGAACAGGAAACAUCUUUACAAAGAUCAAGAUCUUCUCAUAACCAUGCAACUCCUGAUAACAUAAAUCCUGACUGGUAUUUAGAUAAGUGGAAGCAUCAGGAGAGCACUGACCCCACUGAAAUUGAAGUGCAAGACAAGGAGGAGAAAGGAUGAAGAGGGGCCUAUAAAAUGUGUCUACCUCGUUUCAGGCAAAGUGCAUCCUUCUAUGCAAUUAAAGACCUUAACCCUCGGUUUACGUUCACUGUGUUUCCUCAUGCAGUGAUUCUGUCUGCCUUCACCAUUUGACCGCUGACUGAUCUUUCCAGAAGAUAAUCAAAGAAUACAUCCUUCAAAUGGAUUUAACUGCAGGAGACAGAGCAUAUUCACGCCAUAUUCUUCACAGGGACUUGAAUUUUCACGUGUAUUCCAAGAAGAUGGUUCAGUUGACUAUUAUAGAGGUACCAAGGGAAUGAAGAGCUCAUCUAGUUCACAAGUGGCAGAGUCAGCAUUUAAACCAGGUAUGAUUACUACAGGGCCUGUGCUCUCUCCAGGGAGCUCUUUCUGUGACAUUAGGCUGGGGCAGGAGACCUUGAGAGAAACUCUCCUGCUGGGGUCCUGAAGGAGAGUUGGACUUACUUCCUUACAGGCUGAUCUGUUUUCUGAAAAUGGGACAAAGAGUGUGAAGGCAGACAAAAGUGCUUGUUUCUUUGAAUGAUAUCUUAAGUGAUUAAGUGAGAUAAUGUAUAUAUAGUGCGUAGUCAAUAAUUGGCACGUGAUUGAUGGUAGCUAAUUUUACAAUAUACUAAACUGUGAUUAUGUUAAUGCUUAAUCUCCAGGACCAAAAUAUGACAUUUGAACAAUGAGUAGAUUAAGGGAACCUCUUCUAACUCUGCUUAUAUAUUUUAUCUUAAUCUGGAGUCAUUUAGAAAAGAAGGAAUUUGGAGUUGGGAUUCAAAUAGUCAAAAUGUGAAUAUCUUCAAUGUUUCCUGGGAUUUCUGAGUUUCUACUUCCUAAAUGUCUUUAUAGAGGAAAACCAUCAGCAGAGACAUCUAACUGCUGCUUCUCUCUCUUCUGACAUCUGAGAAGCCACCUGAGGCAAAUCCUAAUGGGAGACUACGCAACAGUCAGCCCCUUCUUCUGACUCCCAGAGUCCUGAUUUACCCAGGUAGAGGAAAGCAAUAUGCUCGGGAAAGAUUCCCCAGUUCCAGGGCAUGAACAAUGAUUAGUCUAAACCAACCAUGUUAAUCCAUUCCUCUUUAUCACAGAUUGGUUUAGAAGUGGGCAUUUCACCAGAUUCUGGCCAGUGGCAUCUGAAAUGAUGUUUGUUUGCACUUUUGUGAAAUUGGAGAGAGAUGUAUGCAAGAGAAACCUCCUCCUUUCCUGCUUUGGCUUUGCACGUGAAGAUGGAAACUUAGAGCAGUAGCUCCCAUCUUAGCACCACAAGAAGGCCAAAAAGAAAAUGAAAAAGCUGAUCACAAGUCCUGACAUUGUUAAGCUGAAGAACCAACCCUGAAUUAUCUACCUGAAGGCUUAUCAUCAUGUGAGAGAAAAAAACUUACCCCAAAAUCCCCUUCGAGUGGUGGCAAGAAAACCCCAUCAAAGGAACAUCGAGAGUAAGGACAGUAACUAGUGUUGAAGAGUUGAAGGAUGCUUUGCUGGCAUUGUUGAUAGUUUCCAGUGCCCUGGAUUUGA
Equus caballus (horse) is the source of this 3162-nucleotide non-coding RNA. The record is from RefSeq and is a predicted model, not a curated record. NCBI's taxonomy places the organism in Eukaryota, Metazoa, Chordata, Mammalia, Perissodactyla, Equidae.